AUGAGAUGGGCCCUCAUGGAUGGAAUGGCAGUGACAUCAUAGUUCCGAUGCUGCCUGGCACCCACUCUGCUUCGUGUCCGAAGGCAGUUGGGAGCUCUUGUGGUCUCUGACCUGCUCUGGAGCUUGCUUGUCUGUCCUGUUCUGACCCACCAUCCCCCUCAUCCACCUUGUCACUGUUUCUAGAGGAGAGGCGCACCUCCAACAGCGAGAGCUCAGAAAGGUGAGCAAGAGAGGCACCCUCAUCCCUAAUGGGCACCUUGGGCACAGAGGCCACUUGGCAGGUGACCCCCUUCCCCAUGAGCUGUGGCUGAGCUGACACCAACACUGGAGCACAGAAGGCAGUUGGAGGCCCUUGUGGUUGCUGACCUGCUCUGACGCUCGCUCGCCUGCCCGCCCUGCUCUGACACACCUGAUUCCCACACCUUCCUGGUUGACUUGUUAUCAUUUUGAGAGGAGAGGCCCAUAUCCAACCGCGAGAGUCAGAAAGGUGAGCAUAAGCUGCACCCUUGACCCUACCAACACCUCAAGGAAGGAGAGGCGACUGGUUGGUGUGUGGACCACUCAGGUCUGGGCCUGAGGUGACAGGGACCUCCAGCACCAAGCCCCUGAGCAUGUAGCCCACUCAGGGCUCUGUGGGGUGUGGGCUGCUGCCAGAGAUGCCUGAGUCCCUGUGAAGAGCCUGAGGU
This 686-nucleotide long non-coding RNA is filed under the name Sus scrofa (pig). RNAcentral's name for it is "lncRNA (ENSSSCG00070001837.1)". Lineage: Eukaryota; Metazoa; Chordata; Mammalia; Artiodactyla; Suidae. The record is from RNAcentral.